UGCCUAGCAACUCCUAUCCCUACCUCCUCGUGGUACUGGCUGGGGUUCGAGUAACCUUAGGGAAGAUCUGGUAAUCAAUCCUAGUGAAAACUUUGGUCGUAUGCUGACAGGGAAGG
Molecule: ribozyme, 116 nt
Filed under: Aedes aegypti (yellow fever mosquito)
Lineage: Eukaryota; Metazoa; Arthropoda; Insecta; Diptera; Culicidae
Description: drz-agam-1 ribozyme
Rfam family: drz-agam-1 ribozyme
Source: Rfam by way of RNAcentral